This 22-nucleotide small nuclear RNA is filed under the name Arabidopsis thaliana (thale cress). RNAcentral describes it as "snRNA_04497". Lineage: Eukaryota; Viridiplantae; Streptophyta; Magnoliopsida; Brassicales; Brassicaceae. The record is from RNAcentral.
AGUUUGGAGGCUAUAAAUACCU